CCUCAAUUUUGGGUGGAAAUUCCCCAAUUUUGGAUGGAAAUUCCCCAAUUUUGGGUGCAAAUUCCUCAAUUUUGGCUGGAGAUUCUCCAAUUUUGGGUGCAAAUUCCUCAAUUUUGGAUGGAAAUUCCCCAAUUUUGGGUGGAAACCCCCCAGUUUUGGGUGCGAAUUCCUCAAUUUUGGGCGGAAACCCCCCAAAUUUAGGCGGAAAUUCCCCAAAUUUAUGCGGAAACCCCCCAAAUUUGGGUGGAAACUCCCAAAUUUUGGGUGCAAAUUCCCCACUUUUGGGUGCGAAUUCCUCGAUUUCGGGCGGAAACUCCCCAAUUUUGGGUGGAAAAUCCCCACUUUUGGGUGCGAAUUCCUCGAUUUCGGGCGGAAAUUCCCCGAUUUCGGGGCUCCCACACCUGGGCCAGGUGCGCGGCCGUGGCCACGCCCACCCCGGGGGGCGCCGGGACCCCCAAACCCCAAAUUUGGGGCGGCUCCGGGAGGAAGAGGAGGAUGAAGACAUGGAGGGGUCCGAGCCCCCCGAAAUGGCGGCAGAACCCCAAAACCCCGACGGACGGGGGGAGGCGCCCCCAGACCGGAGCUCGAGCCCCGCUGGCGGCAAAGGAGACCCCAAAAUUCCGGGGGAAUAAUUUGGGGGUGAGGGAGGGAUUUUUUUUUAUUUUUUUUUCCCCAGAAAUUCACCCCAAAAAAAAUUUGGGGGGGUUUUUAUGGGACCUCCCCCAAAAUUCUUUCACCUCCCCAGCUCCUCAUCAAUAAAAACGAUAAAACCC
Molecule: non-coding RNA, 773 nt
Organism: Lonchura striata (white-rumped munia)
Lineage: Eukaryota; Metazoa; Chordata; Aves; Passeriformes; Estrildidae
Source: RefSeq, a predicted model, not a curated record